Molecule: unclassified non-coding RNA, 395 nt
Filed under: soil metagenome
Description: partial contains 5.8S ribosomal RNA, internal transcribed spacer 2, and large subunit ribosomal RNA
Rfam family: 5.8S ribosomal RNA (bases 1-122)
Source: RNAcentral
GAUGAAGAACGUAGCGAAAUGCGAUACUUGGUGUGAAUUGCAGAAUCCCGUGAACCAUCGAGUCUUUGAACGCAAGUUGCGCCCGAAGCCAUCAGGUUGAGGGCACGUCUGCCUGGGCGUCACAUAUCGUUGCCCAAUGCCUAUUGCAGUGCAAUAGGAAUUUCUAGGGCGAAUGAUGGCUUCCCGUGAGCGUUGUUGCCUCGCGGUUGGUUGAAAAUCGAGUCCUUGGUAGGGUGUGCCAUGGUAGAUGGUGGUCGAGUUAGAACGAUACCGAUCAUGUGCAUGCUCCCCAAAAUAUGGCCUCUAUGACCCACACGCGCCUUUUGACGCUCAUGACGAGACCUCAGGUCAGGCGGGGCUACCCGCUGAAUUUAAGCAUAUCAAUAAGCGGAGGA